AUUGAACGCUGGCGGCAGGCUUAACACAUGCAAGUCGAGCGGAGAGAGGUAGCUUGCUACUGAUCUUAGCGGCGGACGGGUGAGUAAUGCUUAGGAAUCUGCCUAUUAGUGGGGGACAACAUUUCGAAAGGAAUGCUAAUACCGCAUACGUCCUACGGGAGAAAGCAGGGGAUCUUCGGACCUUGCGCUAAUAGAUGAGCCUAAGUCGGCUUAGCUAGUUGGUGGGGUAAAGGCCUACCAAGGCGACGAUCUGUAGCGGGUCUGAGAGGAUGAUCCGCCACACUGGGAAUGAGACACGGCCCAGACUCCUACGGGAGGCAGCAGUGGGGAAUAUUGGACAAUGGGCGGAAGCCUGAUCCAGCCAUGCCGCGUGUGUGAAGAAGGCCUUAUGGUUGUAAAGCACUUUAAGCGAGGAGGAGGCUACUUUAGUUAAUACCUAGAGAUAGUGGACGUUACUCGCAGAAUAAGCACCUGCUAACUCUGUGCCAGCCGCCGCCGUAA
RNAcentral lists this ribosomal RNA (501 nucleotides) under uncultured bacterium. Its description in RNAcentral is "partial 16S ribosomal RNA". It matches the Rfam family "Bacterial small subunit ribosomal RNA", at positions 30 to 523 of the family's 1533-position model. The record is from RNAcentral.